UACGAGGGGGGCGAGCGUUGUUCGGAAUUAUUGGGCGUAAAGGGUGCGUAGGCGGUUUUGUAAGUCUUAUGUGAAAUCUAUGGGCUCAACUCAUAGACUGCAUGAGAAACUGCAGGGCUUGAGUAUGGGAGAGGUGAGUGGAAUUCCUGGUGUAGCGGUGAAAUGCGUAGAUAUCAGGAGGAACACCGGUGGUGUAGACGGCUCACUGGACCAUAACUGACGCUGAGACACGAAAGCGUGGGUAGCAAACAGG
Molecule: ribosomal RNA, 253 nt
Filed under: uncultured bacterium
Lineage: Bacteria
Description: partial 16S ribosomal RNA
Rfam family: Bacterial small subunit ribosomal RNA
Source: RNAcentral